AUGCUCACUUUGGCAGCAUAAAUAUUAAAAUUGGAACUAUAUAGAGAAAAUUAGCAAGACCCCCUGCACAAGAACGACACACCAAUUCAUGCAGCAUUCUAUAUUUUA
This is a small nuclear RNA of Heterocephalus glaber (naked mole-rat), 108 nucleotides long. The record is from Ensembl. Lineage: Eukaryota; Metazoa; Chordata; Mammalia; Rodentia; Bathyergidae.